AAAACAUGUCUUUUUGAUAAUAAUUUAAAGUCUAAUCUGCCCACUGAUGUAAUAUUAAAGGGCUGCAGUAUAUUGACUGUACAAAGGUAGCAUAAUCAUUAGUCUUUUAAUUGAAGACUUGAAUGAAGGAUUUGAUGAAAUGUGAACUGUCUCUGUUUUAAAUAUAAAAUUUAAUUUUUUAGUUAAAAAGCUAAAAUAUAAUUAAAAGACGAGAAGACCCUAUAGAGUUUUAUAUUUUAAUUAUUUAAUUUAAUGUAUAUAUUUAAAUAUAUUAAUUAAUUAAAAUAUUAUAUUGGGGUGAUAAAAAAAUUUAAUAAACUUUUUUUAAAAAAUAAACAUAAAUAAAUGAUUAAAUGAUCCAUUUUUAGUGAUUAAAAGAAAAAAUUACCUUAGGGAUAACAGCGUAAUAUUUUUUUUUAGUUCAAAUAAGAAAAAAAGUUUGCGACCUCGAUGUUGGAUUAAGAUAAAAUUUAAAUGCAAAAGUUUAAAGUUUUGAUCUGUUCGAUCAUUAAAAUCUUACAUGAUCU
RNAcentral lists this ribosomal RNA (527 nucleotides) under Kallima inachus (orange oakleaf). Its description in RNAcentral is "partial 16S ribosomal RNA". The stretch from base 395 to 527 matches the Rfam family "Bacterial large subunit ribosomal RNA", at positions 2473 to 2606 of the family's 2925-position model. Lineage: Eukaryota; Metazoa; Arthropoda; Insecta; Lepidoptera; Nymphalidae. The record is from RNAcentral.